Limanda limanda (common dab) is the source of this 589-nucleotide long non-coding RNA. RefSeq lists it as uncharacterized. The transcript has 3 exons. Lineage: Eukaryota; Metazoa; Chordata; Actinopteri; Pleuronectiformes; Pleuronectidae. The record is from RefSeq and is a predicted model, not a curated record.
AUGAGCACUGCUUCCAUUUUUAACCUAAGGAGUAGUAUAACCCCCCACCAAAAGGGGGCGCACUAUGCGUUUUAGCAAAUGGAACCCCCCACGAACAAGAAGCCCUUUUCUCCUGUGAUUUCUUCAUGAUACCUGAAGGUCCCGGAUUUCGACGUCCAACUUGAGAGUGUCAACGGAAGUGAUUCCAUAGUUAUCUGCUACUGAAAACUCAGAAGAACCUGAAUCUGAAUGAUGAGAUGGCGUGCUUAACCCAGAUCGUGGAUACGGUGUGGCCAACCGUGUGAUCCAGAUCGAACCUGAUUCGUGUAUCGAGAAGACACCAUACUCCAGUCCUGCCCGUCACGUAGACGGGUAGUACUGAGUAUAGAGACCUAAAGACCCGGACCAGAACGGAACCAUUGAAUCCUCAAGCACACACACUAAUCAAGGACUGUACGGACGAUAUCCAGGGAACUGUACAUAUACACACUGACAGGACUGAAUUAUUUACAAGAUUUAUAUAAUAUUUACUGUUGUUUCUAUUUUAUGCUGUUUAAUACUGUUUUAUACUUUAUAUUGUGAUUGUUCGGUGACUGUUUGUGAAACAAUA